UACGUAGGGUGCGAGCGUUAAUCGGAAUUACUGGGCGUAAAGUGUGCGCAGGCGGCCGAGCAAGUCGAGUGUGAAAGCCCCGAGCUUAACUUGGGAACUGCGCUCGAAACUACUUGGCUAGAGUGUGGCAGAGGGAGGUGGAAUUCCACGUGUAGCGGUGAAAUGCGUAGAUAUGUGGAGGAACACCGAUGGCGAAGGCAGCCCCCUGGGUUAACACUGACGCUCAUGCACGAAAGCGUGGGGAGCAAACAGG
Molecule: ribosomal RNA, 253 nt
Filed under: uncultured bacterium
Lineage: Bacteria
Description: partial 16S ribosomal RNA
Rfam family: Bacterial small subunit ribosomal RNA
Source: RNAcentral